This 81-nucleotide transfer RNA is filed under the name Lachnospiraceae bacterium MD308. Its description in RNAcentral is "Lachnospiraceae bacterium 3-2 tRNA". It matches the Rfam family "tRNA". From Rfam's summary of the family: Transfer RNA (tRNA) molecules are approximately 80 nucleotides in length. Lineage: Bacteria; Bacillati; Bacillota; Clostridia; Lachnospirales; Lachnospiraceae. The record is from Rfam by way of RNAcentral.
GCGGAUGUGGCGGAAUUGGCAGACGCGCUAGACUUAGGAUCUAGUAGGUUUCCUGUGCAGGUUCAAGUCCUGUCAUCCGCA